UGAGCAAUCUGCCCUUCUCAUCGGAAUAAGCGUUGGAAACGACGUCUAAUGCCGAAUACGACCUCCUUUCGCAUGAUCGGAGGUGGAAAGCUCCGGCGGAGAAGGAUGAGCUCGCGGCCUAUCAGCUAGUUGGUGUGGGUAAUGGCCCACCAAGGCGACGACGGGUAGCCGGCCUGAGAGGGUGACCGGCCACACGUGGGACUGAGACACGGCCCAGACUCCGUACGGGAGCA
RNAcentral lists this ribosomal RNA (233 nucleotides) under uncultured bacterium. Its description in RNAcentral is "partial 16S ribosomal RNA". It matches the Rfam family "Bacterial small subunit ribosomal RNA", at positions 118 to 347 of the family's 1533-position model. The record is from RNAcentral.